Molecule: long non-coding RNA, 1583 nt
Organism: Oncorhynchus tshawytscha (Chinook salmon)
Lineage: Eukaryota; Metazoa; Chordata; Actinopteri; Salmoniformes; Salmonidae
Source: Ensembl
AACAUUCAUUGUGUUAUUGCAUUAAUACAGUUUAAACAGUAGAUAUUUGGGGGAAGUUACUAACAUAAAAGUGGAAUAUUGGAAUAUGUCUGACAAGAGGAACAGUCCUGCCCAGUGUGAAAGCCAACACACACAGCCUUACACACUCAGCUCCCUGUAUUCUACAGCUGCACUGCUACAGCUUCACCUAGAGGGGGCGAUAGAAACAACCAGAUUUAAGGGACAGGACAAACAAGACCAAUGACAGACAACACAUCUUAUCUGAAAGGCUCUCCUGACAUAGCUGUCCCAAUAGAGUCACUAUGAUCCAGAAACUGACUGGCCAUAGGACAUUUUGGAGCCAGAUGGACCGGUCCAUCUUUAAGCACAGUGGGCUGGCCUAAAUUGGGUGUUUGCAAAGAACAACUGUUUUGGGGGCGGGGGGGGUAGUGUGUAUGAAAAUACAUGUAAAUGUUGAAAAGAAAAACAGUCACAUUAUCAAUCAUCACAGAUCACUGCACCUGUACAUAGCCCAUCUGUAAAUAGCCCAUCCAACUACCUCAUCCCCAUACUGUAUUUAUUUAUUUAUCUUGAUCCUUUGCACCCCAGUAUCUCUACUUGCACAUUCAUCUUUUGCACAUCUAUCACUCCAGUGUUUAAUUGCUAUAUUGUAAUUACUUUGCCACCAUGGCCUAUUUAUUGCCUUACCUCUCUUAUCAUACCUCAUUUGCACACACUGUAUAUAGACUUUUUGUACUGAAUUAUUGACUGUAUGUUUGUUUAUUCCAUGUGUAACUCUGUGUUGUUGUAUGUGUCGAACUGCUUUGCUUUAUCUUGGCCAGGUCGCAGUUGUAAAUGAGAAUGUGUUCUCAACUAGCCUACCUGGUUAAAUAAAGGUGUUCUCAACUAGCCUACCUGGUUAAAUAAAGGUGUUCUCUACUAGCCUACCUGGUUAAAUAAAGGUGUUCUCAACUAGCCUACCUGGUUAAAUAAAGGUGUUCUCAACUAGCCUACCUGGUUAAAUAAAGGUGUUCUCAACUAGCCUACCUGUUUAAAUAAAGGUGUUCUCAACUAGCCUACCUGGUUAAAUAAAGGUGUUCUCAACUAGCCUACCUGGUUAAAUAAAGGUGUUCUCAACUAGCCUACCUGGUUAAAUAAAGGUGUUCUCAACUAGCCUACCUGGUUAAAUAAAGGUGUUCUCAACUAGCCUACCUGGUUAAAUAAAGCUGAAAUAAAAUAUAAAAAAAAUGUUCACAAUCCUCGACUGAUUUCAAUACAACAUAAACAUGUCAUAAAUAAAUAACGGCACUCACCCUAACGUCAGGACCAGACUCCACAGACCACAGGUUGGGUUGGUCCUCCUCUUCCUCCUUGUCACCAGUGGGAAACCAGCUAGGAUAAUAUUACACAGAUGGAUUAGAUUACAUCAGAUAUUCACUUAUUUAUUGAUUUGAUAAUUAAAGUAUUAGGGCUCUCCAGCCGGAGACAACAUUAUAUAUGACCUCAGUUAUAUGACUCUGUCAACUAGUAACACAGAGAUGAACAUCACAGAGACAACAUUAUAUAUGACCUCAGUUAUAUUACUCUGUCAACUAGUAACACAG